CACGGGGGGAGCAAGCGUUGUUCGGAAUCACUGGGCGUAAAGGGCGUGUAGGCGGUCAGGUAAGUGAGACGUGAAAUGCCCCGGCUUACCCGGGGACCUGCGUCUCAUACUGCUUGGCUUGAGUACGGGAGAGGGUGUGGGAAUUCCUGGUGUAGCGGUGAAAUGCGUAGAUAUCAAGAGGAACACCUGAGGUGAAGACGGGUUGCUGGGCUGAUACUGACGCUGAGGCGCGAAAGCUAGGGUAGCAAACGGG
This 253-nucleotide ribosomal RNA is filed under the name uncultured bacterium. RNAcentral's name for it is "partial 16S ribosomal RNA". It matches the Rfam family "Bacterial small subunit ribosomal RNA", at positions 524 to 776 of the family's 1533-position model. The record is from RNAcentral.